GCGUGUCCACGUCGGAGUGUUAAAUCAGCCAAUAAGGUUGAAGUUUUUUUCCAUGUCAGAAAUGAGAUAUUCAAUUUCUGCUUUCUUACCCGAUCUUCACACCUUCCACCUCUUCCCUUUCUCUUAUCUCCACAUCGGUUCCGUCAAUUAACUUCAUCACUUACCUUCCACCUUUUCUCUUUCUCUUAUCUCCACAUCGGUUUCGUCGAUUAACUUCAUCGCUAAGUGCUCCAAUCAAACCUUGAAUAAACACAUUCAAUUAUACCUUUCACCUUCUUCUCUGUUUUUCUAUUUAUACAUCUCAUUUCCUAUCUUAUGUCUCCAUCGAAGUUUAUAAGAUUCUAUCACACUCAUCGCGAUGAAACACACUGGCAACUCUUCACUCUCCAGCGACGGCAGGACCAGCAAGACGACCGUUGCCUCCUCUGCGACUGCGAGUCUCCUCAUGGUGGUGGUCUGAGAACCGGCGCUUCAUGUAGCUGGCACCUCGAGAAGAUAUGUAAUUGGUUCGCGGUGAAGGGUCCGGUGAGAAGUUCGAGUGCCAAGAUGAGGUUCGUUUCUACUAAAGUUUCGAUUUUUAGCCAUGGGAACUUGAAAUGAAUGUGAAAGUUUGAGACUUUAUCACUGGCAGUUAUGCAAGUGAUGCUUUGAUAAGCUGAGGUUCUUGAGUGUGACAGAGCCUGCUUUGCUUGGCGAUGGUGGUGACAAAGGAAGAACUUAUAGACUGUCUGUCUUGGAACCAUUUCUCAGAGUGGUACUUCAAAAUUCUUAAAGGCUCUUAAGGAAACCAAGGAUCUUGCUGCUGACAAGACAUGUUUCUUCUUCUCAAUCCUCGGGACGAAGGUGAUUUCACCAAGCUCCAUCUCCAGCAAGUGCUCAAGUUGUAAUGAACUACGCUUAGAACAGUAGGAAGCAAUCUGCUUCAAAUUGAGAGAUGCGUCUCUAAAGGGUGCUUUAGCUUUUAACUCUGAUGGUCGUUACUUGGCGACUAGAGGAGUUGAUCGCCAUGUUCAUAUAUCGGACGUCACAGGAACACUGUUUCUUCCCUAUGUUUCAGACACAGAACUGCAGAGCUCUACUCUGGUUCAUUUGAUCGAAGUGUCAAGGCGUGCACUUACGGUUGGGAGAGAUAGAGUCAUGCAACUACACAAGGAGGGUAAAAAGGCAGAGAAGCUUGAUGGAGGAGGUGGCAAAAGGGGAAAACACCAGCAUCUGGCAUGUCUUCACAUCUCAAUAGCUUAUGAGAUCACUAUGAAGAUUUCUGAGAUACAACUUCUUACAAACCCAGCAUCUCUGUUGGGUCAUUGAUGCAAAUCGAAACUGAAAGGAGAAGAAGAGGAACAACAAAAGAUAUGGGAAGCUAUGAAUAUGGUUCGAUUAGGUUCUUAAGUGAAGCUAAAGACAUUGGUGGGAGCGGUUUCGUUGAGAUUCUGAAGUUUCUUGCAGUCCACUACUCAGAGUAUUGACUGUUGCGGUGUCGUUGGUGGAUCCUCCUAUCAUGUACAUCGUAUCUGCAAUCCAGUCUCCGUAGAAGCAUAUGAUCUAAUUGUCAGUCAAGUUUGAGUCUUUUUGGGAGUUUAGUUUAUUACAGGUAGCUGUAUUAAUUUGUUUCAGCAAAUAGUUUCGAUUAACGCAGAAACUGUUUGGGGUGGCAAAAGACUAGAGUUGUAGCAUCUCUAUACUGUUGUCGGGGCGGGGCAUGUUGGUUUAUAAAAUUUUGUUUGUGAUUUGGAUUCUCUUUAAGGAAUUACAUAUAUUAUUAAUUUUUGCUAUGAUAAAAAUGUUUCAUUA
Molecule: long non-coding RNA, 1791 nt
Organism: Raphanus sativus (radish)
Lineage: Eukaryota; Viridiplantae; Streptophyta; Magnoliopsida; Brassicales; Brassicaceae
Exons: 9
Source: RefSeq, a predicted model, not a curated record